This 301-nucleotide ribosomal RNA is filed under the name uncultured bacterium. RNAcentral's name for it is "partial 16S ribosomal RNA". It matches the Rfam family "Bacterial small subunit ribosomal RNA", at positions 509 to 807 of the family's 1533-position model. The record is from RNAcentral.
CAGUCGCCGCGGUAACACGUAGGGAGCAAGCGUUGUUCGGAUUUACUGGGCGUAAAGGGCGCGUAGGCGGCGCGGUAAGUCACUUGUGAAAUCUCUGAGCUUAACUCAGAACGGCCAAGUGAUACUGCUGUGCUAGAGUGCGGAAGAGGCAACCGGAAUUCUUGGUGUAGCGGUGAAAUGCGUAGAUAUCAAGAGGAACACCUGAGGCGAAGGCGGGUUGCUGGGCCGACACUGACGCUGAUGCGCGAAAGCCAGGGGAGCAAACGGGAUUAGAUACCCCUGUAGUCCCUGUCUCUUAUAC